RNAcentral lists this small RNA (190 nucleotides) under uncultured Collinsella sp. RNAcentral describes it as "Collinsella-1 RNA". It matches the Rfam family "Collinsella-1 RNA". Lineage: Bacteria; Bacillati; Actinomycetota; Coriobacteriia; Coriobacteriales; Coriobacteriaceae. The record is from RNAcentral.
UGCGGGACAGCGCGCGGUAGCGCGAGCUGUUCGUCGUGGUAGAUCUAAAUAAACGGUGGGACGGCUGCAAGAGAGCCUCCCUACCGGGUGAAAUCGGGAUGUGCCGCGGAACCUUUUCCUCAGUCGGUCAACUUUGGAAGCGCGGGCAACGCAGGUGCCACUGUCUUAAAGGGUCGGCUGCAACCGGCCC